AAUAUAAAAAAACGACAAUCGAUUAAUUUCUAUGAUGAUCUCUAUUGAGUAUAUUCAAAAUGGCAGACAAGAGUUCUUUUUGGUUUUGUGACCUGCUAACUACCAGGUCUCAAAUUUGAGGCAAUAUUUUGAGACUAACGCUAGAGACUGUAUAGUGAAUAGUAACUAGUCACAAAUUGAGAUUUUACCUCAAAAUGUCUCAAAUAGAUACUAGAGACUGGUUACAGAAUCCCGCUAUUAUUUACCAACAGCAGAUUCCUGCACUGAACUUGAAAGCAUAAGCAAUCAGCUAAAAAUACGGCUCCAUGACAAUACAAAAGUAGGCAAUGAAUUAACGCUUCUCUAUACUGAAGAAAACCUAGAAAAGAUUUAGAGUUGAUUCACAUAGAACAUUUGCUUCGCUUUACUUCAGCCUUUUGCUUUGACACAAAAAAAAAACAAACAAAUUACUGAAGUGUUAGUGUAUAUAAAAGUUAAAAAUAUACCUACAAAAUUCAUUAUAAAUGGGAGAAACACGCAUUUUAAAUAGUUGAAUUUUUGAACUUUAAAUGCAAAUAUCCCAAAAACCAUAAAUCAGCGGCAACUAUAUAUGUAUAUACAUAUAUUUUCUUAAUCUGGAGGACCUCCUCUAUCCGUACAAACCCAAUUUAACCCCGAAAUAAGGGGAUGCUAUUCUAAAAUUUACCCGAUUUUUUACAACUUUCGACGUGGAAUAACACAUAAAAAGGGCAUAAAUGAACUUAAUUAAAUUUUUCAAGAAUCUGCAUUUAUCGAUAGCAUGGUAAAUUCAAUCGAGAUCAUACAUUAUUCCACGACAAAUUUCAGGAAGGUCGUCCUAUCCACCAGUAAAUAAUAUGUAUUAUUACGUAAAGAUUCGAACUCGCAUGCAUCUUUCUUGUGUAGCCAUAAUUGCAAGUGCGACUGUUUGGUCCAAUGCCUAUUUUUUAUAUUUUGUAAUUGAACGCGAUUUGACAACUCCUUGGCUACGAAACUAGUUAAAAACAGUGGGGUUACUCUGUAAGGCGUUGCGAAUAGCAAUGCGUUACGAAAGUGAAUUGCGUUGCAAAGGGAAAUCGGUACUCUGUAACACUUUUGCAUUGUAAACAGUGUUGCACUGUUUUCCCGUUGACAUAUUUCCAGUAUAGUUGACAUUACUGACCGAAACGAAGGAAAAUGAAAACAAACACAAUAACAGAAAAGUGAAAAAGUGUAGAAAAUUGACAGACAAACAUAAUUAAAUUUGAAAAGUUUUAUAUGCAAGUAAUUUUAAAUCAAUAAAAAAGGUGUGGAUAUGGAUUCCGUUGUGUUAUGGGAGGAAAACACAAAAGAUGAACGAGUUGAGCGGAAAAUUAUUAGGGAAAAAGUUUCGUGCAAAACUUUCGCUUAAGCAAGGAAUCAUUCAAAUAUGUGUUGGAUAGCAUACGUAGUGAGCUAAAAACUCCACGCAGGUCCACAGGAAUACCCGAAAUUGUGAAAUUACCGGCAACUUUAAAAUUUUUGGCGCAGGGAGGGUAUCAACAGUCAAACAGUUUCGCGUUGUGUGUUUGAAGUUUGUAAAGCAAUCGAGAAAGUGCUGUGUCCAAAACACAUAAGUUUUGCAAUGUCUUCAGAGGAGAAAAAUGAAGCGAAACGAGCUUUUUACUCAAUGUCUCGAAUUCCAGGAGUAAUUGGAGUGGUGGAUGGUACUCACAUCCAAAUUAUACGACCGGCAGUAAAUGAGCAUUUACUAUACCUCAAUAGGAAAUUAAAGUAAUCAUAGUAUAAACGCUAUGGUGGUAAGGCAAUUGUUUUUAUACUCUCGCAACAAAGUUGCUAAGGAGAGUAUUAUAGUUUUGUUCACAUAACGGUUGUUUGUAAGUCCUAAAAAGAGUCAGAUAUAGGGUUAUAUAUACCAAAGUGAUCAGGGUGACAAGUAGAGUCGAAAUCCGGAUGCCUGUCUGUCCGUCCGUCCGUCUGUCCGUCCGUCCGUCCGUGCAAGCUGUAACUUGAGUAAAAAUUGAGAUAUCAUGAUGAAACUUGGUACACGUAUUUCUUGGCUCCAUAAGAAGGUUAAGUUCGACAAAAUGGCGAAAACCGAAAACCUAUAACGUGUCAUAACUAAUCCAUAAAUAAAGAUAUUAAAUUAAAAUUUGGCACAAAGGAUCGCAUUAGGGAGGGGCAUAUUUGGACGUAAUUUUUUUGGAAAAGUGGGAGUGGCCCCGCCCCCUACUAAAUUUUGUGUACAUAUCUCGGAAACUACUAUAGCUAUGUCAACCAAACUCUAUAGAGUCGUUUCCUUCAGGCAUUUCCAUAUACAGUUCCAAAAUGGAAGAAAUCGGAUAAUAACCACGCCCACCUCCCAUACAAAGGUUAUGUUGAAAAUAACUAAAAGUGCGUUAACCGACUAACAAAAAACGUCAGAAACACUAAAUUUUACGGAAGAAGUGGCAGAAAGAAGCUGCACCCAGGCUUUUUUUAAAAAUUGAAAAUGAGCGUGGCGUCGCCCACUUAUGGACCAAAAGGAACUACUAGGCCGAUUUCAAUGAAAUUUGGCAUAUAAUAUUUUCUUCCCUGAUGACAUGUACGAAAUAUGGGUGAAAUCGGUUCACAAACACGCCUUCUUCCAAUAUAACGCUACUUUGAAUACCAUCUGAUGCCUUCUCUGUAUAAUAUAUACAUUAGGAACCAAUGAUGAUAGCGGAAUAAAACUUUACACAAAUACGGUAUUUGAAAAAUAUGUAAAUGACGGAUAAUGAAAUCUCGAUUAUCACUUUAUCAUGCGAGAGUAUAAAAUGUUCGGUGACACCCGAACUUAGCCCUUCUUUACUUGUUUAAUUUAUCUUUGUUUUUUUAUAAAUAUUGUUUCCAAAACCUAGAUAUGUGAUCAUAAGAUGAUAAUAAAAGCCGUUAACGGUCGGUUUGCUGGGGCGUGUCAUGAUUCACAUGUGUGGAAUUUGUCAAGCGAGCGCCAAUAUUUACAAACCAACUAUGUGAAUGGGGAAAUAGGAAUUCGCAUUCUUAGCGACUCUGGAUAUCCGCUUGAGCCAUGGCUUUUAACUCCAUACAGAAAUUCUGCUGUAAACUCUGCUGAAAGUUACUACAACAUAAAAUUUUCAAAAGCCAGAUUCCUUAUCGAAUGAGUAUUUGGAGUAUUAAAAGCGCGGUUCCGAUGCCUUUUAGCUGCUAGAGAACUACAUUAUGCCCCAGAAAAUGUGGUGCAAAUUUUGAACGUAUGUUGUGCUCUUCAUAAUAUUUGCACUCUUUUUAAUGUGGAAUCACCUGCCAAUAUAGCA
This is a long non-coding RNA of Bactrocera neohumeralis, 3272 nucleotides long. RefSeq lists it as uncharacterized. The record is from RefSeq and is a predicted model, not a curated record. The transcript is spliced from 3 exons. NCBI's taxonomy places the organism in Eukaryota, Metazoa, Arthropoda, Insecta, Diptera, Tephritidae.